CUGUUAGGUUGCUUGGGUAGAACUGUUAGAUUGCUGGUUAGAAUUGCGGUUAGGUUGCAUUGUUAGUAUUUGCUAGGUUAGUAGAUUAUUUGAUUAAUUGUCUACUAACUUGCAUGUUAAGUGUUCUUUUGAGUUGCAGUGAGUAAGUAUGUUUGUUGAUCGGAACUUUAAGGGAUGAAAACCUUAAAGUGGAGGGAGUUCGAGGCCAAACCCAAACCCGAAGCGAAAGAGUGGAGGCAGAUUCAGAGAACUGGACAGUGGUAUGGACUGGACAGAUGGGAGGAAACAAAACUUCGUUGGGAAAGGACUUCAUCAGUAGUUGGGAAAACAAAGAUCGAGAAAAUGGUUGGAGUAAUCAGGAACGAGCAUGGACAAGAUCGUAUCAGGGCAAUGAGUAUGUUAUGGCAGAGUAAAACAAAGAGGAUGACUCAGUGAUCAUUCAAGUGAAGAGAUAUGAAGACAAUUGUGGAGGCCUUGAAGAGGACACUCAAGGAACCGUGGUGGACAGAGUAAAGAGGUUAUGGAGACAAGUGGAGAAUCUUGGGAAGACGAGCAACGGCGCAACUAAGAAUUCGAGGACGAAUUCUAUUAAGGGGAGGAGAAUGUAGAAACCCGUUAAAAAAAAA
Brassica rapa (field mustard) is the source of this 626-nucleotide long non-coding RNA. RefSeq lists it as uncharacterized. The record is from RefSeq and is a predicted model, not a curated record. Lineage: Eukaryota; Viridiplantae; Streptophyta; Magnoliopsida; Brassicales; Brassicaceae.